AAAGUCGUAACAAGGUUUCCGUAGGUGAACCUGCGGAAGGAUCAUUACAGAGUUCAUGCCCUUACGGGUAGAUCUCCCACCCUUGAAUAUCUUACCUUUGUUGCUUUGGCGGGACGCUUCGGCCACCGGCUUUCAGCUGGUGAGUGCCCGCCAGAGGACCCUAAACUCUGAAUUUUAUAUUGUCUGAGAACUAUAUAAUAGUUAAAACUUUCAACAACGGAUCUCUUGGUUCUG
Molecule: unclassified non-coding RNA, 234 nt
Filed under: Ascomycota sp.
Lineage: Eukaryota; Fungi; Ascomycota
Description: partial contains small subunit ribosomal RNA, internal transcribed spacer 1, and 5.8S ribosomal RNA
Rfam family: Eukaryotic small subunit ribosomal RNA (bases 1-47)
Source: RNAcentral